RNAcentral lists this ribosomal RNA (745 nucleotides) under uncultured bacterium. RNAcentral's name for it is "bacterial SSU rRNA". It matches the Rfam family "Bacterial small subunit ribosomal RNA", at positions 33 to 773 of the family's 1533-position model. The record is from RNAcentral.
ACGCUGGCGGCAGGCCUAACACAUGCAAGUCGAGCGGUAGAGAGAAGCUUGCUUCUCUUGAGAGCGGCGGACGGGUGAGUAAUGCCUAGGAAUCUGCCUGGUAGUGGGGGAUAACGUUCGGAAACGGACGCUAAUACCGCAUACGUCCUACGGGAGAAAGCAGGGGACCUUCGGGCCUUGCGCUAUCAGAUGAGCCUAGGUCGGAUUAGCUAGUUGGUGGGGUAAUGGCUCACCAAGGCGACGAUCCGUAACUGGUCUGAGAGGAUGAUCAGUCACACUGGAACUGAGACACGGUCCAGACUCCUACGUGAGGCAGCAGUGGGGAAUAUUGGACAAUGGGCGAAAGCCUGAUCCAGCCAUGCCGCGUGUGUGAAGAAGGUCUUCGGAUUGUAAAGCACUUUAAGUUGGGAGGAAGGGUUGUAGAUUAAUACUCUGCAAUUUUGACGUUACCGACAGAAUAAGCACCGGCUAACUCUGUGCCAGCAGCCGCGGUAAUACAGAGGGUGCAAGCGUUAAUCGGAAUUACUGGGCGUAAAGCGCGCGUAGGUGGUUUGUUAAGUUGGAUGUGAAAUCCCCGGGCUCAACCUGGGAACUGCAUUCAAAACUGACUGACUAGAGUAUGGUAGAGGGUGGUGGAAUUUCCUGUGUAGCGGUGAAAUGCGUAGAUAUAGGAAGGAACACCAGUGGCGAAGGCGACCACCUGGACUAAUACUGACACUGAGGUGCGAAAGCGUGGGGAGCAAAC